RNAcentral lists this ribosomal RNA (140 nucleotides) under uncultured eukaryote. RNAcentral describes it as "partial 18S ribosomal RNA". It matches the Rfam family "Eukaryotic small subunit ribosomal RNA", at positions 1299 to 1458 of the family's 1831-position model. The record is from RNAcentral.
UGGUGGAGUGGUUUGUCUGGUUAAUUCCGUUAACGAACGAGACCUUAACCUGCUAAAUAGUUACAGCGAAUCUGGGAUUCCUGGAUAACUUCUUAGAGGGACUAUGGAUGUUUAAUCCAUGGAAGUUUGAGGCAAUAACA